Molecule: long non-coding RNA, 1901 nt
Organism: Homo sapiens (human)
Lineage: Eukaryota; Metazoa; Chordata; Mammalia; Primates; Hominidae
Gene: CA3-AS1
Product: CA3 antisense RNA 1
Source: Ensembl
GGGACUGUCCUCGGGUCCCGCGGCCAGGGCUGCGCCUCCCCUCCCUCGGGCCCUACGCGCCUCCGGCGGACGCGGGGAUUCCUCCACAGUGGCCUCGCAGCUGGGGCAAGGGGGACAUCCCCGGCGCCGCGGAGCCGCGAGCGGAGCGAGCGCCCGGGGCGCACCUGAGCCUCCAGCACUCCCCGCGGCCGCGGAAACAUUUUCCUGGGCAUCUAAAAGUAUUGUGGACCUGAGACACUGUGCUUACAGGGCCUACUGGUUUUCACUGUAUGAGACCGAGAAUGGAUUAUGGCAGUUCCUCUUACCUCCGCUGCAUACUUGACUCCAUCCACGGUGUGCUCAGAGCCAUGAUCAUCCGAAGAGCCCCAGUGAAGAUGAAACUGGCGAAGUCGGUAGGGUCCAGGGAGAGGACCCCCUCUCAGCACUGUGAUUCAGAUAAGCUUGGUCAACAGUGAAUUCAUGCUUCUUUUACAGAGCUCUACUUUAACCAAGUGCUCUUAGAGCCAAGGCUUAAUGGACAAAAUGUGGUCAGUUUGCUGGGUGGAUGGUGCCACUCCCAGGACACUGGACUCCUCACAAAAUGAAGUCUGGGGAUAUGUCAAGAUAAAUGAUUGUUCUUUUCUGUCUUUCUUAUUUUGUUUGCUUGUUUCAUUAUUAUUGAAACAUCAUUUUAACAUUUAGGAAAGCAAAAUUAAAACAACAGAUAGACAAUGAGGAUGCAUACACCCAAAGAACAAGUCAGUAGUGUGGUGCAGUGGGAAGAACUGGACAGUUGAGAACCAGGUGGAGGUAGGUUUCCAAUGCUGGCUUCACCCCUUGCUAGUUCUGUGGUCUCAGGCAAGUUGCUAAACUUCUCUGAACCCACUUUCACAUCUCUAAGAAGGUGAUAAUAAUACCAAACUUUCAGAGCUGCUGUGAAGAUUAACUGAGAUUAAGCACCUUAAAGUGCUCAUCAUAGUGCCUGCAUGAUGAUCACUGAGCAGAUGUGAAUUCCUUCUCCACGUGUUGCUUCCAACUACACUUUUCUUCAAGACAACGAGCAAAAACUUUCAUCUACGUCUAAUUUAGACUGUGUCUAUUCAAAUGAGAUGAAAUGGAAAAUUCAGAAAUUUCCCAGAAAACCAAUCAAUGUGGAUGAUUAAACUAGAUAAUUCUCAGCAGCAUUAAUUUGGGCUUGUUGAUAAACAUCUCAACCCAUUGCAGAGUGAUUUAGAGGUUCAAAUGUCUUCCAAAGUAUAUUGGAAACUAUGCAGAAACCCUAAGAUCAAGAUUUGGCAAUAUAAGCUAGAUCAAAAUAGAAUUCAGAGCAUAGCUAUUUUAGAAGAGGUUGCCCACACUAAGUGGCCCAGGGAAAGCCAUAAAUAUAGACCUCAAACAAUGAGGCUAGGCCUAUAUGAGUUUGUUCAGGUAGAAAUGGAGUGGUUCAAUUCAUUGCAUUUUUCCUGUCCAACCACUCAGAACAGUUAUUAUAGGGACAUGUGAGUCCAAUUUAUUAGAAGAAACUAUAUGAAAUUGACAAUAUUCAACUAUUUUUGCACACAAAAAUGGCAUUUUCAUAUGGUUCAACCUAAUAGAUAUGUUUAAUUUUGUUAUGUUGCUUUCAAAAUGGUACUUGAUAUAUAAGGAGAAGGGGAAAAAAGGAAACAAUAGCAAUACGAAACCACUGUUUAAGAAAAUUUAAAUUUCUGUAACUUGGAACCUCCUGGUAGGUAGGAAUUAUGAAUAUCAUUCUUCAUUACAAAAUCAUUAAGAAUGUUCAUUUAUGUAUAUCAAUAAAUAUAACUUUAUUAGAGAUGGGGCUAUAAGGAAUUAUUUUGCUGUAUAUCAAGCACCAAAAUAUUAAAGGAAGAUUCUUUCUUACCUCAUUUAUCGUGAAAUAAAGUAUUUCUGACUAGUCUUCU